CACUCCUGCGGGAGGCAGCAGUGGGGAAUUUUGGACAAUGGGCGAAAGCCUGAUCCAGCCAUGCCGCGUGCAGGAUGAAGGCCUUCGGGUUGUAAACUGCUUUUGUACGGAACGAAACGGCCUUUUCUAAUAAAGAGGGCUAAUGACGGUACCGUAAGAAUAAGCACCGGCUAACUACGUGCCAGCAGCCGCGGUAAUACGUAGGGUGCAAGCGUUAAUCGGAAUUACUGGGCGUAAAGCGUGCGCAGGCGGUUAUGUAAGACAGUUGUGAAAUCCCCGGGCUCAACCUGGGAACUGCAUCUGUGACUGCAUAGCUAGAGUACGGUAGAGGGGGAUGGAAUUCCGCGUGUAGCAGUGAAAUGCGUAGAUAUGCGGAGGAACACCGAUGGCGAAGGCAAUCCCCUGGACCUGUACUGACGCUCAUGCACGAAAGCGUGGGGAGCAAACAGGAUUAGAUACCCUUGUAGUCCC
This 471-nucleotide ribosomal RNA is filed under the name uncultured organism. Its description in RNAcentral is "partial 16S ribosomal RNA". It matches the Rfam family "Bacterial small subunit ribosomal RNA", at positions 334 to 797 of the family's 1533-position model. The record is from RNAcentral.